Molecule: long non-coding RNA, 1551 nt
Organism: Panicum virgatum (switchgrass)
Lineage: Eukaryota; Viridiplantae; Streptophyta; Magnoliopsida; Poales; Poaceae
Exons: 4
Source: RefSeq, a predicted model, not a curated record
AGUCCCCAUCUAUCCUGGGACUCGCAACGUUCGUUUGGGGCUCGAGGAAGGGAGAGACCGCGUGAAAGUCUGCGACGGGCCGUUGGUGACCGUGGACGUCCGACCUCCGGCACGACCACACACCACGCCGGCCGCCGGCCGUCGGGACGCCACCUUAUGUGUCCAUGAGUUCAUGUUAGUCUGAAACUCUGAAUAUUGGAGCACGAUUCGCAUGCUUCUCUGAUUUCCAUGUCUCUCCAUCGCCGAUCAAGGAUCAACUGAACAAUCCUAUCAAUGUUCAUGUUUUUUCUUCAUUUUCAGCAAGCAAAGGAGGAUCAGAGGCGUACGUCAGGCGAGCGGCGAGCCUAAUAGUACCAGCAGGAGGAACGAGUUCAACCGACCCAAUCCGAUAUCUUGUGCAGGAGUCAGGACCUCACCAGCGACCAGGUAUUGAUCGUGUUUCUGGUUUUUUUUCUUCUAUUCCGUGUGACUUUCAUGCCUUUUAUUUCCACAAGCUCCAGCAGGAAUGGUCAACAAGGACAAUCAGCAUGCAUGGUAACAAUAUAUACUAUUUUUUUGAGUGGGAAGUGGAUCCUCCCAAAUUAGCUUGAAAUACGCGAAUCCAGGAGCCACAUAUGCCGACCUAUAGCAUCAUAUACAAAGAGCUCUCUCUCUCUCUCUCUCUCUCUCUCUCUCUCUCUCUCUCUCUCAGGCAAAGUGCUCUUUUUUUUUGCCUAUACAAAGAGCGUUGAGCAGAUGUAUACGUACGGUUCCAACCCAACGGAUCAGCAAACAAUACAAAGCAAUUGCUCAGCCCAAAACAACAAGCGGCCCACAAGGCCACGACAAACCACACAGCGCUUUUUUUUUCCUGCAUACGAAUUGCCCAACCCUCGGCGCAUGGCCAGCAAGACAAGUCCUCCCAUCCCGUGGCGUCCUCCACACGGUGUGCCAGCGUCGUCUUCAUUUCAUUCAACCCGUGUUCACACCGUGCCAUCCUGGUUCCUGGAUGCGACCGGCUACCGGGAAUCUUCCUCUCCUUUCUUCCCCUUCCCCUUUCUUUCUCUCCAAUCAUCUCCUUCUGCCUCACCUCCCGCGUUAGUAGCUCUUGAGCUCUUCCGUUCCAGCAUUGCUCCCGGCAUGUCGUCAGCUUUCGCUUCCCGGCGUUGAGCAGCUCUAUUUCCAGCGGGUUCACAUCGCACGGUACCUGCUGUGUGCUCUUGUUCUUCCUCUUCCGUGAACAUCAGCAGAUCUGUUAGCUAUUUUCAGCACGCUCCAAUCGUCCUGCAGUUGAGUGUUCUUGGCCUGCCUCUUCAGUGAGCGUCAGCAGGUCCAUCCCCGUGCUCUCAAAUUCGUCUUCUGUUUACAGGGACCACCCCGCUUCGCCGCGGAUCAGCUGCGUUUCAGCUUCGGUUUGCUCCUUUUCAAGUUGCUUUCGGUAUGAGGCAGAAGCAACCUGGAUUAAAAUUCCUCGAGAACUGUUAUUGAUGCCUAAAGAAAACAAGAUAGCAUCGAUUGUUGAUUCUGUUUAUAGAGAACUGCCUUCCAAAUACAAAGAUGUAAGCUGUCUAA